ACUAAACCGUGAACCUCCAAGAUGACAAUUUUUCCAUAUCCCCCAUGAAGGCAGCAUAAACAGAAGUCUCUGAUAACAGUUUAUCCUGCAGUCUCUGUGCAGAAGACCCCUCCUUGGAGGGAACACGUGUGACCCUCCCGAAAACCAAAAGAAAAGCGUUUUUACUGACUGGUAAUAUUUAUUUAUGUAGAUGCAGAUGUUUAGUGCUGGGCCAUAUGAUUGAACAGAUUUCACAUUUAAUAAAAGAUUAGUUUACUCAUUUAAUUAAUAUCCGAGGCAAUACGUAGGUUAGAUCAGUGCUCUCCCAGGCAGCACAGAAGGAAAAAGAAACAGUGUAGGAAGCUGCCUGCUCCUGUGACCUUCCAGGUCCCUUACAAAGACAGGGGAAGGGAGACACUCCCAUGAUUCACAGCAGUGUGUGGGAGGUGGUGCCAAAGGCAGUACCAGGCUGUGAAGGCCUCACAAAUCCCUCAUGGAGGAAUUGGAGCCUAGAGGAAACAGUUCAAGUAUCCAGGGAAUGGAGCUCCUGUUUGAUCGUGUUUGAUCUGGCAUCAUGUGAACUUAUAUGACUACAGGGCCUCGUUUCACUUCUCUCAGGGAGAGACUGCUAAGUGUUGCUAGGAAGAAAAGGAUGUACGGCAGAUGAAGAUGCUUCUGGGUUCCUGACAGGAACCGGAACUCAGCUGUUGGCAAGUCUCCAUGCAGUUGCUGGAAGUCUUCUCUCAUUUAAGAAAAAAACAAAAACAAAAACCAGUGACCCUCAAGGAGUUUAUAGAUUUAUAGCUGAUUAUAUACACACAUUUGGGAUUUUUUUCUUCAUGGUUUCUUCAUUACAGAAUCUUUCUUAAUCAAUCUACAUACCAGAGAUAACCAGUGAAUGAAUAUUUUUAUGCUUGUGAUAUGUCAUUUUAAUUUCAAAAAGUCGUUGAGAAUCUGUUGUUUUUCUUUUUUACCCCCUGCUUUUUUCCUCAGUGUCUCUUUUCUCUCCAGACUGCUAAGGUUUUAAUGUUUUAGCCGUUUUUAUCUUUCCAUUUAAAAAGUCUAUCCAAAGCAGUACCCUUUUCCUUACUAGAAGAAAAUGUAUCAAAACCCAGUUCUGUACCAUCCAAACACACAAAUGGGUUGGCAGUAGGGCAAACAACAGUUUUGGUUUGCCCGGGACUGACUGAUGGCCCACUACGCUAGACUCUUCUAUUAGAGUACUCUCUUACAGUCCCCAAACUGGGUCACCUUGAGUGGCAGCUUGAGAGGAGGACUGCAUGCGACAUGGAUACCACCAUUAGAGAGCUGCAGUUUCAAUCCCUGUAUUAGAAGUACUCUUCUGUCACUGCUAAACAGCUGUAGAAAGCAAUAAAGCACCAGAUGGAUGAAUGGAUUUAAUGACAUUUAUGUUUCCUUGAUACCAGUAGAUCUCAAUUCUGGCUACUUAGAGGAAUCAUCUGGUUAGCUUUUUAAACAACAACAACAAAAAAAUGCCUUCCUGAUGCAACAGGCCUGAAGCACAGUGGCAAGCAUGUUCUAAUUACCCAUCAGUAUUUCAGUGUUUCUUGGAAACAAUAGUUUACAUUUACUAAGAUUCAAACUACAGGUGUACAAACAGCCCCUUCUAACAACAACAACAAAAUCCACUCUAUGUACUCUGCCUUUUAAAAUGCAGCAAGCAUGCCAACAUCUUCUUCAUAUGAACAAAUGAAACAUAUAAACUACUUAUACUUGUUCACAUAUAUGUAUGUGUUGGAACAUGGUCCAAGAAUGGGUUGCAUGAGAGGAAUUCUAAAUGUUUGUGAGAAAACUCCAAGAAAACAAGACAAGAGUUUCCCAGUUUCUUCAAAAACAGAGAAUUGUCCUUGGAAUGUGCUUUCAUGCCUCUUCCAGGUGUAGCAGAUAGGAGUGUUUGCUUUAGAUUAUUCAUUACAACUGGCUAUUGUUAUUUGUUUAUGCCUCUAUGGAAAAAUAUGCCUUUGCCACAUGUGGUUUGUCCUUGUGAAUAUACACUUUACUCAUGUGAUUCUUCUUAACUUUCAGAGUAUAAAUUGUCUAGUGUUCUCAAUAAAGUUGGCUAUUGCAUGA
This is a long non-coding RNA of Peromyscus californicus insignis, 2070 nucleotides long. RefSeq lists it as uncharacterized. NCBI's taxonomy places the organism in Eukaryota, Metazoa, Chordata, Mammalia, Rodentia, Cricetidae. The record is from RefSeq and is a predicted model, not a curated record. The transcript is spliced from 3 exons.